AGAGUUUGAUCCUGGCUCAGGACGAACGCUGGCGGCGCGCUUAACACAUGCAAGUCGAGCGAUGAAAUCUUGACAGAACCCUUCGGGGGGAAGAUAAGAUGGAUUAGCGGCGGACGGGUGAGUAACACGUGAGUAACCUGCCUUAGACAUUGGGAUAGCCUCGGGAAACCGGGAUUAAUACCAAAUGAAAUCACAUAUGCACAUGCAUAAAUGAUCAAAGCUCCGGCGGUCUAAGAUGGACUCGCGUCCCAUUAGCUAGUUGGUGAGGUAACGGCCCACCAAGGCGACGAUGGGUAGCCGGCCUGAGAGGGUGAACGGCCACAUUGGAACUGAGAAACGGUCCAAACUCCUACGGGAGGCAGCAGUGGGGAAUAUUGCACAAUGGAGGGAACUCUGAUGCAGCGACGCCGCGUGAACGAAGAAGGCUUUCGAGUCGUAAAGUUCUUUUAUAUGGGAAGAUAAUGACGGUACCAUAAGAAAAAGCCCCGGCUAACUACGUGCCAGCAGCCGCGGUAAUA
RNAcentral lists this ribosomal RNA (518 nucleotides) under Peptoniphilus sp. MML-10-529. RNAcentral's name for it is "bacterial SSU rRNA". It matches the Rfam family "Bacterial small subunit ribosomal RNA", at positions 8 to 525 of the family's 1533-position model. The record is from RNAcentral. Lineage: Bacteria; Bacillati; Bacillota; Tissierellia; Tissierellales; Peptoniphilaceae.